GGCUCGGUAGCUUAGUUGGAAAAGCACUUUUCUAGCGAAUAAGGGCUGUGAGUUCAAAUCUCACCUGAGCUG
Molecule: non-coding RNA, 72 nt
Organism: Aedes albopictus (Asian tiger mosquito)
Lineage: Eukaryota; Metazoa; Arthropoda; Insecta; Diptera; Culicidae
Source: Rfam